RNAcentral lists this ribosomal RNA (424 nucleotides) under uncultured bacterium. RNAcentral describes it as "bacterial SSU rRNA". It matches the Rfam family "Bacterial small subunit ribosomal RNA", at positions 358 to 773 of the family's 1533-position model. The record is from RNAcentral.
GGAAUUGUUCGCAAUGGGCGCAAGCCUGACGACGCAACGCCGCGUGGAGGACGAAGAUCUUCGGGUCGUAAACUCCUUUCGAUCGGGAAGAACGGCUUCCGGGUGAAUAAUCCGGGAGAGUGACGGUACCCAGAGAAGAAGCCCCGGCUAACUCCGUGCCAGCAGCCGCGGUAAUACGGGGGGGGCAAGCGUUGUUCGGAAUUACUGGGCGUAAAGGGCUCGUAGGUGGCCAACUAAGUCAACCGUGAAAUCCCUCGGCUUAACCGGGGAACUGCGUUUGAUACUGGAUGGCUUGAGUUUGGGAGAGGGAUGCGGAAUUCCAGGUGUAGCGGUGAAAUGCGUAGAUAUCUGGAGGAACACCGGUGGCGAAGGCGGCAUCCUGGACCAAUACUGACGCUGAGGAGCGAAAGCCAGGGGAGCAAAC